AAAAAUACUGUGCAGGAAGAAUCUUCGCACUCGUCCGAAACAGUACGUGCGUGCAAUAUAGCCAAAUUACACGCACGCGAGCGAUAACGGGUUAUGCUCACCCUCAGCCAGAUCUGACCGGUCAGCUCGGCCGCGGUGACGCGCUGGGCCUUGGCUGCUGCGCGCUGAAGCUGAGCCACAGGGGAACUAGAGGAGGCCGCGACUAGGGAUGAGUCGGCUCGGUAAGGUGGCCACGGGCCUACAG
Molecule: long non-coding RNA, 244 nt
Filed under: Hordeum vulgare
Lineage: Eukaryota; Viridiplantae; Streptophyta; Magnoliopsida; Poales; Poaceae
Description: long non-coding RNA (HVUL_LNC012568)
Source: RNAcentral